GCUUACGGCCAUACCAGCCUGAAUACGCCCGAUCUCGUCCGAUCUCGGAAGCUAAGCAGAAUAGGGACUGGUUAGUACCUGGAUGGGAGACCGCCUGGGAAUACCAGGUGCUGUAAACCUUUUAGCUGGACUUUAAUCUUGAUAGCUAUGAUUAAAUGCAACGAAAAACACAUGAUUUAAAUUCAUACAGUAGAAAACAACAAGACGAGGGUUCAACGACAGGAUGGAUCAUGGUUACAAGUUAUAAAGAAGGUGUACAGAGGACCAACUGUC
This 273-nucleotide ribosomal RNA is filed under the name Semaprochilodus insignis. Lineage: Eukaryota; Metazoa; Chordata; Actinopteri; Characiformes; Prochilodontidae. The record is from RNAcentral.